Molecule: unclassified non-coding RNA, 370 nt
Filed under: uncultured Weeksellaceae bacterium
Lineage: Bacteria; Pseudomonadati; Bacteroidota; Flavobacteriia; Flavobacteriales; Weeksellaceae
Description: contains 16S-23S intergenic spacer region
Source: RNAcentral
UCUCUACUUGCGUAGGCAGUCUCACUAGAGUCCCCAACUGAAUGAUGGCAACUAGUGACAGGGGUUGCGCUCGUUGCAGGACUUAACCUAACACCUCACGGCACGAGCUGACGACAACCAUGCAGCACCUUGAAAAUUGUCCGAAGAAAAGUCUAUUUCUAAACCUGUCAAUUCCCAUUUAAGCCUUGGUAAGGUUCCUCGCGUAUCAUCGAAUUAAACCACAUAAUCCACCGCUUGUGCGGGCCCCCGUCAAUUCCUUUGAGUUUCAUUCUUGCGAACGUACUCCCCAGGUGGCUAACUUAUCACUUUCGCUUAGUCUCUGAAUCCGAAAACCCAAAAACGAGUUAGCAUCGUUUACGGCGUGGACUAC